RNAcentral lists this non-coding RNA (26 nucleotides) under Homo sapiens (human). Lineage: Eukaryota; Metazoa; Chordata; Mammalia; Primates; Hominidae. The record is from RNAcentral.
ACAGGUGACAGGCUGCUUUCGUGACU